RNAcentral lists this ribosomal RNA (477 nucleotides) under uncultured bacterium. RNAcentral's name for it is "bacterial SSU rRNA". It matches the Rfam family "Bacterial small subunit ribosomal RNA", at positions 24 to 518 of the family's 1533-position model. The record is from RNAcentral.
UCAGGACGAACGCUGGCGGCGUGCCUAACACAUGCAAGUCGAGCGAGGAGAUCCUUCGGGAUGAUCCUAGCGGCGGACGGGUGAGUAACACGUGGGCAACCUGCCUCAUAGAGAGGAAUAGCCUUCCGAAAGGGAGAUUAAUACCUCAUAACAUUGCAGUUUCGCAUGGAACAGCAAUUAAAGGAGUAAUCCGCUAUGAGAUGGGCCCGCGGCGCAUUAGCUAGUUGGUGAGGUAAUGGCUCACCAAGGCGACGAUGCGUAGCCGACCUGAGAGGGUGAUCGGCCACAUUGGGACUGAGACACGGCCCAGACUCCUACGGGAGGCAGCAGUGGGGAAUAUUGCACAAUGGGGGAAACCCUGAUGCAAGCAACGCCGCGUGAGUGAUGACGGCCUUCGGGUUGUAAAGCUCUGUCUUCAGGGACGAUAAUGACGGUACCUGAGGAGGAAGCCACGGCUAACUACGUGCCAGCCGCUGC